Molecule: ribosomal RNA, 594 nt
Filed under: uncultured archaeon
Lineage: Archaea
Description: bacterial SSU rRNA
Rfam family: Archaeal small subunit ribosomal RNA
Source: RNAcentral
UACUGCUAUCGGUGUUCGACUAAGCCAUGCUAGUUAAAUGUUCUUCGUGAACAUAGCGGACUGCUCAGUAACACGUGGACAAUCUGCCCUUGGGUUCAGCAUAACCCCGGGAAACUGGGGAUAAUUCUGAAUAGAUCACAUAUGCUGGAAUGCUUUGUGAUUAAAAGAUCCGUCGCCCAAGGAUGGGUCUGCGGCCUAUCAGGUUGUAGUGGGUCUAGAGUACCUACUAGCCAACGACGGGUACGGGUUGUGAGAGCAAGAGCCCGGAGAUGGAUUCUGAGACAUUAAUCCAGGCCCUACGGGGCGCAGCAGGCGCGAAACCUUUACACUGCGGGAAACCGCGAUAAGGGGACACCGAGUGCCAGCAUACAAUGCUGGCUGUCCACAUGUGUAAAUAGCAUGUGAUAGCAAGGGCCGGGCAAGACCGGUGCCAGCCGCCGCGGUAACACCGGCGGCCCGAGUGGUAAUCACUAUUAUUGGGUCUAAAGGGUCCGUAGCCGGUUUAAUCAGUCUUCCGGGAAAUCUGACAGCUCAACUGUUAGGCUACCGGGGGAUACUGUUAGACUUGGGACCGGGAGAGGUAAGAGGUACUAC